UAAUACAUGCAAGUCGAGCGAAUCAAUAGGAGCUUGCUCCUGUUGGUUAGCGGCGGACGGGUGAGUAACACGUGGGCAACCUGCCUGUAAGACUGGGAUAACACCGGGAAACCGGUGCUAAUACCGGAUAAUCCUUUUCCUCUCAUGAGGAAAAGCUGAAAGUCGGUUUCGGCUGACACUUACAGAUGGGCCCGCGGCGCAUUAGCUAGUUGGUGAGGUAACGGCUCACCAAGGCGACGAUGCGUAGCCGACCUGAGAGGGUGAUCGGCCACACUGGGACUGAGACACGGCCCAGACUCCUACGGGAGGCAGCAGUAGGGAAUCUUCCACAAUGGACGAAAGUCUGAUGGAGCAACGCCGCGUGAGCGAUGAAGGCCUUCGGGUCGUAAAGCUCUGUUGUUAGGGAAGAACAAGUACCGGAGUAACUGCCGUACCU
This 436-nucleotide ribosomal RNA is filed under the name Neobacillus drentensis. RNAcentral's name for it is "bacterial SSU rRNA". It matches the Rfam family "Bacterial small subunit ribosomal RNA", at positions 49 to 480 of the family's 1533-position model. Lineage: Bacteria; Bacillati; Bacillota; Bacilli; Caryophanales; Bacillaceae. The record is from RNAcentral.